GAGACGAGGUCCCUUAUGUCUUUGAUGUAGUUUGUUUUUCCCUUAUCACUGGUGUAGUUCGUCGCUUUUCCUUUUUAUCUCCCCUUUUCUUUUUUAUAUUUGGGCGAGGGUUUUCUCUCUGCUCUUAGCGGGGUUGUGGGGAUGUAGAGGAGCCAUUGAGAAGGUUUUUCUCCUCAUCCGAUCUUGAACGAUCAGGUCU
This 199-nucleotide long non-coding RNA is filed under the name Elaeis guineensis (African oil palm). Its description in RNAcentral is "long non-coding RNA (EGUI_LNC082094)". Lineage: Eukaryota; Viridiplantae; Streptophyta; Magnoliopsida; Arecales; Arecaceae. The record is from RNAcentral.